This 400-nucleotide ribosomal RNA is filed under the name Penaeus monodon (black tiger shrimp). RNAcentral describes it as "partial 16S ribosomal RNA". It matches the Rfam family "Bacterial large subunit ribosomal RNA", at positions 1944 to 2543 of the family's 2925-position model. Lineage: Eukaryota; Metazoa; Arthropoda; Malacostraca; Decapoda; Penaeidae. The record is from RNAcentral.
UGUUGUGCGAAGGUAGCAUAAUCAUUAGUCUUUUAAUUGAAGGCUUGUAUGAAUGGUUGGACAAAAAGUAAUCUGUCUCAGUUAUAAUAGUUGAACUUAACUUUUAAGUGAAAAGGCUUAAAUACUUUAAGGGGACGAUAAGACCCUAUAAAACUUAACAAUAAUUUGAUUAAAUUAUAAAUUGUUAGUAUAACUUGAUUUUAAUUAAUGUUUGUUGCGUUGGGGCGACGGGAAUAUAAUUAGUAACUGUUCUUAAAUAUUUUAUUAACAAGUAUAAUUGAAGAAUAAUUGAUCCUUUAUUAAAGAUUAAAAGAUUAAGUUACUUUAGGGAUAACAGCGUAAUCUUCUUUGAGAGUCCUCAUCGACAAGAAGGUUUGCGACCCCGAUGUUGAAUUAAGGA